This 91-nucleotide transfer RNA is filed under the name Nitrospina gracilis. RNAcentral's name for it is "tRNA-Ser". It matches the Rfam family "tRNA". From Rfam's summary of the family: Transfer RNA (tRNA) molecules are approximately 80 nucleotides in length. Their secondary structure includes four short double-helical elements and three loops (D, anti-codon, and T loops). Further hydrogen bonds mediate the characteristic L-shaped molecular structure. tRNAs have two regions of fundamental functional importance: the anti-codon, which is responsible for specific mRNA codon recognition, and the 3' end, to which the tRNAs corresponding amino acid is attached (by aminoacyl-tRNA synthetases). tRNAs cope with the degeneracy of the genetic code in two manners: having more than one tRNA (with a specific anti-codon) for a particular amino acid; and 'wobble' base-pairing, i.e. permitting non-standard base-pairing at the 3rd anti-codon position. The record is from RNAcentral. RNAcentral also lists the same sequence under 4 other names. Lineage: Bacteria; Pseudomonadati; Nitrospinota; Nitrospinia; Nitrospinales; Nitrospinaceae.
GGAGAGGUGGCUGAGUUGGCUGAAGGCGCGCGCCUGCUAAGUGUGUGUAGGUUUACCCCUACCGAGGGUUCGAAUCCCUCCCUCUCCGCCA